This 568-nucleotide ribosomal RNA is filed under the name uncultured bacterium. RNAcentral's name for it is "bacterial SSU rRNA". It matches the Rfam family "Bacterial small subunit ribosomal RNA", at positions 119 to 674 of the family's 1533-position model. The record is from RNAcentral.
AGGCAACCUGCCCUCAAGUUUGGGACAACUACCGGAAACGGUAGCUAAUACCGAAUAAUUGUUUUCUUCGCCUGAAGGAAACUGGAAAGACGGAGCAAUCUGUCACUUGGGGAUGGGCCUGCGGCGCAUUAGCUAGUUGGUGGGGUAACGGCUCACCAAGGCGACGAUGCGUAGCCGACCUGAGAGGGUGAUCGGCCACACUGGGACUGAGACACGGCCCAGACUCCUACGGGAGGCAGCAGUAGGGAAUCUUCCGCAAUGGGCGAAAGCCUGACGGAGCAAUGCCGCGUGAGUGAUGAAGGUUUUCGGAUCGUAAAGCUCUGUUGCCAGGGAAGAACGCUUGGGAGAGUAACUGCUCUCAAGGUGACGGUACCUGAGAAGAAAGCCCCGGCUAACUACGUGCCAGCAGCCGCGGUAAUACGUAGGGGGCAAGCGUUGUCCGGAAUUAUUGGGCGUAAAGCGCGCGCAGGCGGUCAUUUAAGUCUGGUGUUUAAUCCCGGGGCUCAACCCCGGAUCGCACUGGAAACUGGGUGACUUGAGUGCAGAAGAGGAGAGUGGAAUUCCACGU